This 7155-nucleotide unclassified non-coding RNA is filed under the name Mizuhopecten yessoensis (Yesso scallop). Its description in RNAcentral is "uncharacterized LOC110462015, transcript variant X1". Lineage: Eukaryota; Metazoa; Mollusca; Bivalvia; Pectinida; Pectinidae. The record is from RNAcentral.
GACCAAUGUUACGUUUUGCAUAUAUGAAAACGUCUUAAGAUAAUGUUCUGAAGCGUACGAAUACAAAAACGUCUUCAAAAACGAAAAAGACCAAGUGAACAUUCUGGAACCACUCAAUGAGGAUGAGAGAAGUAUUAAAGCCUUUACCUGAUGACAACAUUCUGAUUGUGACAUGUGGAAGUUUGAUUGGAAACCUCCACCGAGAUAGGUUCUUCUGUCCAGGUAUUCACCGUGAAUGCAUUGAGGUCAAUGGCACUUUUAUCACCCCUAAGCGAUUUUCAGUUAUGGGAGAAAAGGCAAGACUAAAAGAUUGGAAAAACGCUGUGCGGCUCAAUGGUUUUCAGUUGAGAAAGUACAUUGACUCUGGUAUCCUGAAAUUCAGCAAUCAUGAUAGCAUGUGUACAGGACGUUGUGUUGCGAGGGCACCGGGGGCCAGGUCAGGACCAGCAGCCGACAGCCUGUUGCCUUCAGACUCCAAGUCCAGUGCAACUCGUCCCCUGGGAAUGUUCACCACAUUAUCAGGAAACAACAUAAUGAAGAUUGAAAAAGUCCCUUCUGAUUUAUCUUGGUCAUACGAAAAUGGGGAGGAGGAGGAAGAUGUGAAGCCUGAUGUCAAUCAGCUCCAGUUUCAGAUGCUUCAGGCUCAGAAUAUGGCCGCCAGCAAGGCCAGUACAUAUGUGCGGUCAAGUCCUACGUCUAGGGUGGCCAAGAAGCUGGCACCACAAAUUUAUCCAACACUCAUUACACCUGUUCCCAUGGUGGCACCAGAUGAGGGACCAGAGGAUAUCACCGAGGAAGAUUGUGAAGACCGUCUACUCUGGAAAGGAAUUGUGGAACUUGGUCUUGUUGAUGAAUUCUUCAGAGAAAUCAAGGCAUCUCUAGAUGCACUGAAGAAUGGAAUGAUCAAACGACGUGUGCCUUUAGCAGACUCAAGAAAGAUCUCUGUGAUCGUAAAGCAGCUAGGCCUAAUGCAGAAGCUCAAAUACAAGCUGGAGGCCCACCAAACAGACAUGGAGAGGCAGAGGCUGAAACUGGACCGUGAUAUGGAAGAAUUACAGAGGAAGGUGCGUGAAUUUGAAGCAAAGAAAGCACUUCUAAAGAGGAAGUCUGAGUGCUUUGAGCAGCUACUAGAUAUCACAGCUCCAAAGACAGAGUCAGUGUGGGGGGAAGAGGAAGGAUCUCCGUCUGGAUACAAAAGAGUGAACAUGAACCAGAUUGAAAACGAAGCAGGGCAACUUGUGGUGUUUCCCCAGCAAAUGUCCUCUGUGCAGAACAUUGACAGCUCUGAAAUGUCUGCAAAUUCUGUCUCGGCAGAGGAUUCCGUUCCUGAUGACAGAGGUCACUAUGUAGUCAACCUGGCAAAUAACGAGUCAGCUUCAUCAACCAAUAGUUAUCCUGAAGAUCUGUCUAAGUCUGCCUCGCAACACCAGUUAACUGGUAAUACUGAGGUAGACAUGAGUUACAUUAUUACUCCAGCAGAGGAUCUGUCAGUGCCGACUGUUUUAAGUGACUGUACAGAGGAACAAGAGAUGAAUGGAGAAAGCAAGAAGCAUUCAAAUGAUAAUUCCAUUGACUUGCAAGGGGAUGAUGAUUCAUUUGCAGAGGCCAAAUACACAGGUAUUAAGAUCAAAGUACGCAGGGGCCGAAAACGCAAACCGAGGGAGAUUCCAAGGGUUGAUCCAGAAGAAGAAUUUGUUAUAAAGAUGGAAGAAGCCAUGGAUGAAGAAGGAGAAUCAGGUCUGAAUUAUGCAACAGGGUCAAACGAUUCUCCUUGUGAUUAUGCAAGUGGACGUGACACUGAUACAGUGAACAAUGGGGGUGGACGUGACACUGAUACAGUGAACAAUGGGGGUGGACGUGACACUGAUACAGGGUUACAGGAAGGACAGGAAAUCCCGCUUCAGCAGACAGCAGAUCACACAAUCUCCGAAUCGCAAGGGGAGGGGGAUGAUUUGACAAUUGGGACCAGUGCCACACAAGACUGUGAACAAAUUACCCAAAGUCCAUGCAAGCUCAGUUUUGAUUUCACCGGUGCCAAAGUCAAUCGUAGAGGAAGAAAGAGGAAAUCCAGAGAGAUGACACGGGAGGAAGAUUCUAGCCCGUCAUCAUUACCACUAUAGGUUCAUAUGUAGUGAAAGUUGUCUAAUCUGACUACCUGUUGAACAUUUUGCCAGAUUAGACAAAGUGUCAGAAUACACAGGUAUAAUGGGUAGUUCUUAUCAGAAAUGGGAUUACUGCCAUAUGUUCAAUUAGACAGGAUUUGGAGUUGAAAUGUUUUAAUGAUUUUUGACAAUACCUGUAUAAUAUUAAAUCACUGUUGAAACAUGACAGUUGAGUCUCAUGACAAAGUUUUCAGGACUAGGUGUUAUACAAUGGCUAGUUGUGACAAUUGCAAAUCAGAUAGGAUGUUUCCGAACUACAUUCAAAGUAUCAGUGAGUUAUAUCUUAAUCAUGUAAUGAUUUCAGUCUUAACAACAUUCAGUGUGCUUACAAAGCUGAAGGAAACGGUACUUUUUUGCUGAUAGUUUGUCUUUGUAAAACAACAUAAUUUGUUUUCACUUGAGAUCGUAUAAUUUUAUCUUCAGCAUGACUUCCAAUUCCCGAAUUGCUAUGCUUUCUUACUGUUUCUGUUUUUUAAUACCGGGUAGUUACUGUACCCCAACACAAAAUAAUUGUGCAACUAAAUUUUAUGUGUUAUAUACCCCUGGUAAUGAUGGGAUAUUUUUCUUUUUGAAAGAUUAAAUAAACAUAAGAAAAAAUGAUAAUUACUAAAAAGGAAUUACCCAUAGUGAAAGUAUGAUGACUAACUACCAUAUGAGGCAUUUUGGGUAAAAAAAUGUUAUUCAUUUGAAUUAGAAUUGGAUUGAUUCAUGAUCAACUCAGGUGCUUGAAAUGAACGCUGCUGAUGAAUAACAUUAACAUUAACAAAUCUGCAUUUCGAGCUAUUUUGUUACUGAUUUUAUAUAUUUUAUGCUCUUAGAUCAUUGUCCUUAAAGACUUUUUUUACUUCUUUAGCACUAAGGCUUUUUUAUCAUCUUUAGAUAAUAAAAAAACAACCUGUUUGCCAAAAAAUUGCUCUUUCUAUAAACUUUAUAUAAGCAUUUAAUAAGAAUUAACAACUUUCAAUGGGUGUAAUAUUUUAUGAUACACUGAAGCUGCUAUGCAGUAUGAUAACAUUGUCACAAUUUCAAUAUAUAAAAUGUAGUACAUGUGUUAUCAAUUUGGAUGUCACAAGGAACGAUGCUGUAGCAUCAUAGAUACAUGGCAAAGACAAAACUGAGUUCUCCUAUCUUAAAAUUAAAAAUGGGUUCUAAUGUCCAAGUCACUGUUUCUAAAAAAAGGAAAAUGAAGGAUUUACUUUAUGAUUAUUGUAUUGUUCUUUCUGACCUUCCAGUGUUAAUGUUUGUGGUAAUUAGAUGUUAUCAUACAGUGUGUCAUUUCCAUGUCAUACUCGGUAUCAAUUUCAGCCCACCAUAUAAGUCAGAUGGGGUUAGAUUUAGACUUUUGGAUUCUGUUUUAUAAUGGUAAACCAAUAAUUCUGAAAUCCAAAAUGAUCACUGGCUUUUGUUUGGGGAUUAGUAAUAUGGAUGGUAGAUACGGUAAGACAAAAACCAGGGUUCUUACUUGUCAUUGGUCUAUUUGUACAUGUGUUGGGUGUGCAUACAAAGAAUUGCAAAUUUGACCCUUUUCUAUUUGAUUUUUAUGAAACUCAAUCAUUUCAUAAAAAUCUAAUGUGUAAUAGGAACUGUUAUCAUGUCAUAAUGCAUAGUAUAGGUGUUUUUUAAAAGAGAAAGUCACAGGGUUAUUGAUAAAAAAUUAAGUGAAUGGAAUUUAUUACCUCAUAUCUGAUAAAUGAUAACAAUUUGGGGGGAAAAUGUCCUCUGUACUAAGCCUGUCUGCUCCAUUUCUUUAAUGUUUUAUAGAACAUAAUGAAUUCUACAUAAACAAAUGUAUUGAUAAAUUGAAAUCCAGUUUUGGAAUUUGAAAUCCAUGAAUGUGUCUAGUAACAUAAAGGUUAGGAGUUGGUUAUGUCAUUGGGGUGUAAGAGAUGAGGUUUAAAGGUUAGGAGUUGGUUAUGUCAUUGGGGUGUAAGAGAUGAGGUUUAAAGGUUAGGAGUUGGUUAUGUCAUUGGGGUGUAAGAGAUGAGGUUUAAAGGUUAGGAGUUGGUUAUGUCAUUGGGGUGUAAGAGAUGAGGUUUAAGCUGAUAUGUCCAGCAUGCACUUAUAUUAGAUACUCGGGAACAAUGUAGUUACUUUAUAAUAGCAAAAGUAAGACUUAUCUUAAAGACUAGAACUUUGAUAAUAAUUGAUCACAUGUCUGGCAGAUACACACAAACUGACUGUCAGGUAAUUGUUGGCUCACAAGCUGUAGAUUAAUCUUCUAGUAAGAGUAACUAAUUAUAACCUUAAGAAAAACUGAUGGCCAAAUAUUUUCCAACAUCUACUUAACCUUAUUUUUUUUGGACUUUAUUAAAUCUUAAAGCAGAAAAUUUUCUCUGUGUAAAUUGUUCACAGCAAAAGUAACUAUAUACAUGGCUGGCUUCAAUAGUGGAUUUUAUAGACAGGUGGUUUCUAAGGGAGGUUUCAGUCGAGGGAUAUCUUAAUAAUAAACAUGUAUGUUUGCUAUUUACCUUUAAUGUUCACCUUGGUUCACACUCCCAGGAAUUGUUAUUUCAAUUUUCACAGUUUUUGAUAACAUGCAUCUUGAAGCAAUAAGAAUUGUUUUGAUUUCACUAAUUAUGAUAAACUUGAUAUAAGAAUUAACUCAUUGUCCUGAAGUACGUCCCUGUUUUUGGUGUGUGAGUUAAAUCUUGUUUUGAAGAGCCAUGAUGUAUUUUUGCAACUUGUGUUUGUGAUAUUGGGUUUUGAUAAUCUACCACAAUCUUAUGUAAUGUAAAGUCCAAUAGAUAUCUCUGACAUAAAGUACAAUUAGAAUGAAAGAUUAUAUGAAGAUUUCAUUUCUAGCUAGAUGGUACUGUCCCUUGUUGGCCGUUUUUGUCCAUUUGUAGUUUACACCGUGAAUCUGUGUGCAUGGUUACGGUUUAAUGUCUGUUCUGUUACAAAUUUUUUACAAAUUAAAGGAACAAGAAGUUCUUUCUUGAGUAUGAAGCAUUCACUUAUCAUGAAAUUUUAUUUGUUAUAUGAAAUAUAAUUCAUACAGGAUAUUAUAUGUUUUCAAAUGUAGAUAUGUAGAUUUUGAAUAGACACUGAAGGUAUAAUGUAAACAAAGUACAGAAUGGUUCUUAGUGAUUUUGGCAGUUUUCACAUAUUAAUUAGCUGUAACAUUCAAAUAAUCUUAAUUCUUUAUCCACUUAAUACUGUAUACAGGAAAUGUUCAACUGUAGUUUACCUUUCUCCCUAUUACUCAAGGGAGACACAAUGUCCCUUAAUUUGAAAAUCCGGUGCAAUUCAUAUGAAGUAUACGAAGUCCCUGCUAAUAGCUCAUCAACGAAUUCAAACAGAGCGGGGACAACACAGCAGAAUCCAGCUUAUAGAUGAUAAGAAAUUGUGUUGAUAUGUUUCAGCUCAAACCUAUAAGUCGAAACAUGUCAAGACCUGAAAAAAUCAUCAAAAAGUAGAUGCCGUGUUGUCCCUGCUUCGUUGGAAUUUUUUCCCCUAAUAAUUAGGCAGAGUUCAACAAAUAGUGUAACUGAUACAGACAUUGAAAAGACAUUUCCCUGGUAAAUGUUUGCUAUUUCCACUACGUUCAUACAUAGACAAGUAUAUCGGUUGCUGAGCUUUUUAGGGGGUGAAAUCAUUUAAAAUAUUUUCUCACUAGUUUUGCAGAAUUUAACAUAUAAAAACAUCACUGGUAGCACAGUGGAAAAGAUCCUUGCUUUGUAAUCAGAAGGUACCAGAAUUAUAUCUAUGUGUCAGAGGUAUUUUUGUGAAAAAAGGAUAUAACUCUCGUUAUAGUAAAUGUGUUAGCAACUCCAAGACUUAUCACGACGUCAAUAUUAUACAGUAUUACACAGAAUACUUUGUACUGUAAUAAUUCCACUGUGUUUGAAAAUAAGUCAAUAAAAAUAUCUAGUAUUUAGGUAAAAGCUGGCUAGUUUACAGUAUUACACAGAAUACUUUGUACUGUAGUAAUUCCACUGUGUUUGAAAAUAAGUCAAUAAAAAUAUCUAGUAUUUAGGUAAAAGCUGGUUAGUUUACAGUGUUUCACUUUUUUACCAAAUUUCAGUUACAUAAUUGUAGUUUUGCUAAAUUUAGAAAAUCACAGCAGAUCCCCAGCUAGAGGCAAUAUCUUAUCUUUUUUUUAAAUACAGCAAGAUGAUUUUAAAAAUUACAGUAGCAGUUUAUAUGUCUGUUCCUGAAGAAAGGUAAUUUAUAUUAACUGCAUAAUGUACACCUGCACGUUUCUAUGUAUUUCAAAUAGGAAAUAUGUAAACUAAAAUGUUUACAGGUUGUAUCAACUAUCCCAAUGUAUUCCAAUAUAUUUGCUUAAAUAUUGGAAUCAUUUUAUUUAGAUUUUGUUUUGAGUUUGAGCUUCAGGAAGCUUAUCAGUAUAACUUGAUUUUACUUUAUGACUAUAGCUAAUAGUUGUAGUUUUGGUGAUGAAGUAUUCUGUGUUAAUAAUGUCACUUAUACAUACAUUUAUAGUAUAUGCUGUUUGUUUUUGAAAUAUUGAAUGCUCACUAGAACUAACAGCAAAUCACUUCUAAAUUAUCCUUUAGUUACCAGUAAGGAUAUACAAAUGUCUAUAUAUUAUCUUAAAUAUUGUUUACUUCAUCUCCAAUCAAUUCCUACAUGUAUAUAUGUGAUCUUUGUGACUGAGUUAUUGAUUAUCAUAGUGGUCUGUACUUUUCCAAUGUGUCAUUAACCAAUCAUCAAAGUCUGAACUGCUUAUCAGCUAUGUAGUUACAGGCUGCAUAUUUUCGAACUGUUUAACUGGUUAAGGAAUAGGGUUAAUUUUUUCAACAUUUAUGAAGUCAUAACAACAUUGGGUUGCUGGACAUACUUCAUGAAUAACCUAACAUGUUUUUAUCGAGGAUUUACCCAGUAAUAAGUUGUCGUUGUCAGAGUUUUUGCAUUUACUAAACUUUCUAUUUUUCUUACUUGAAUAUUUUAAGGUGUAUCAGGAUAUUCCGUCUUUGCAUAUUGCAGAGUUAUCUUCUCUUGUGAGCAGGUAUUGAUUGUUGCGUCAUUGGUU